Molecule: long non-coding RNA, 559 nt
Filed under: Nicotiana benthamiana
Lineage: Eukaryota; Viridiplantae; Streptophyta; Magnoliopsida; Solanales; Solanaceae
Description: long non-coding RNA (NBEN_LNC012266)
Source: RNAcentral
GAUACUUAUUGCGUGCAUAGGGUCGGUUGCUCAUACUACAUUUCUGCACCUUGCAUGCAUAUUUUGGAGCUGAGCAAUUGUGGAGGACGAAGCCUUGCAUUGGAGAUGCCAGCAUUCCAGAUUCUAGCUACCUUUGUUAAUGAUAGUUUAGAAUUUCAUUUCUGUUUAUGAAAACUUCAAACAGAUAUUGUAUUUAUUUCUCACAUCAAUUUUGUAAAUCCAAAUCAUAGUAGCUCACAGUCCAUGGGUUAGUCGUAGUGAAUUCUUUAGUGGUUUUACUUAUAAUAUUGAUGAUUUCUCCUCGUAAUAGUAACUUAUACUGUUUGGCAUACCUAGCGGAUUAGGUUAGGUGCCAUCACGACUUGGUGAGGUUUUGGGUCGUGACAAGGAGGGAGUCAAUCCGAAGGGAAAAGCACAAAACUAACUACUUUUGGUUUGAUCUCUUCCAUUUUCUACUUACGGUUACUUUGGGAUUGACCAUGGAGCAGAAUAGGAUAUUCUUUUAUGUCCAAAAGGCAAUCCACAUGAUACGUUUAGAAUCCACAACUUAUCUUUUUAG